ACGGGAGGCAGCAGUGAGGAAUAUUGGUCAAUGGGCGGAAGCCUGAACCAGCCGAGUCGCGUGAAGGAUGAAGGUAUUAUGUAUUGUAAACUUCUUUAGCUGUGGAGCAAUAAUCUUCAUGUAUGGAGAGAUGAGAGUACACAGAGAAUAAGGAUCGGCUAACUCCGUGCCAGCAGCCGCGGUAAUACGGAGGAUCCGAGCGUUAUCCGGAUUUAUUGGGUUUAAAGGGUGCGCAGGCGGCUUUCUAAGUCGGUGGGCAAAGCGUGGUGCUCAACGCCAUCCCGCGAUUGAUACUGGAGAGCUUGAUUGCGGUCGAGGUUUGCGGAAUUCGACGUGUAGCGGUGAAAUGCAUAGAUAUGACGAAGAACACCGAUUGCGUAGGCAGCAGACCAGGCCGUAAAUGGCGCUCAUGCACGAAAGUGCGGGGAUCGAACAGGAUUAGAUACCCUGGUA
Molecule: ribosomal RNA, 453 nt
Filed under: uncultured Prevotella sp.
Lineage: Bacteria; Pseudomonadati; Bacteroidota; Bacteroidia; Bacteroidales; Prevotellaceae
Description: partial 16S ribosomal RNA
Rfam family: Bacterial small subunit ribosomal RNA
Source: RNAcentral